GGUCAAGAGCGACUGCACGCCCAUCAGAUUCCACCAGCACGUAGCGGCCACCCCUCCCUCGGUUCUCCCUGCGGCCAGCUCUUCACGCCAAUGCGUCGCCGCCGCCCCUUUCCCCGCCACGACUUCUCCUUUCCGCUUCCUCUCCACACGACGGCUUCGUCCGACACCUCCUCUCCCUGCCCUAGGGUCAAUGGCCUCUUCCCCUCCCUGCACUGCACAAGUGCUACAGCCGGCUCGAAGGUGUACAUGAAUUUCUUACCAAAAACUCAUCUUUAACAGUACAUAUUUGUCUGCAAGGACUCUAGCUCGGUGCUUUUAAUUCAAUACCACUGUGACACAACUUCAUAUAUUACCUCAAGAGCUUCAUAGAGGUGCAAGCCAUAAUGAUGACAAGGUCCUUCUUCUUGCUGCUACAAAUACUCUAUAUGCUCUCGAUCAGAUAUAGAACAUCUAUCAAUUAUUCACCUGCAUGAUCUUAACGCCAGGCAACGCAUGUUCAAGGUAAUGAACUGGCAACAUCUGGGCAUUGCUACAAACUUCAGCUACCCUUGAUAUCUCUGCUAAGUUACAUAACAUGCUAAGAACAUGCUAAUAAGUUCUGUUUUCACAAAGAGUUGGAGCAAGCACUUGGAAUGUUUUUAGUCCCUCUACAUUUAUUUGUUGUUGUUCUGAUUUCACAAAGAGUUGAUUAAGUUACAUAACAUGCUAAUAAGUUUUAUACCACAUAUAUAUUUAUGUU
Molecule: long non-coding RNA, 739 nt
Organism: Lolium rigidum
Lineage: Eukaryota; Viridiplantae; Streptophyta; Magnoliopsida; Poales; Poaceae
Exons: 4
Source: RefSeq, a predicted model, not a curated record